UGCAACAAUGUGUGUAAUUUGCGUCAGAUUGGUAAUUAGGCGACAGUUGCCUACUGUCAGAAGCCAUAAUUACUAGACUUGAUGAUAAUAUUUACUGAGCA
Molecule: small nucleolar RNA, 101 nt
Organism: Ruditapes philippinarum (Manila clam)
Lineage: Eukaryota; Metazoa; Mollusca; Bivalvia; Venerida; Veneridae
Product: small nucleolar RNA SNORD16
Exons: 1
Source: RefSeq, a predicted model, not a curated record